CAGUCGCCGCGGGAACACGAAGGGGGCUAGCGUUGUUCGGAUUUACUGGGCGUAAAGCGCACGUAGGCGGAUCGAUCAGUCAGGGGUGAAAUCCCAGAGCUCAACUCUGGAACUGCCUUUGAUACUGUCGAUCUGGAGUAUAGAAGAGGUGAGUGGAAUUCCGAGUGUGGAGGUGAAAUUCGUAGAUAUUCGGAGGAACACCAGUGGCGAAGGCGGCUCACUGGUCCAUUACUGACGCUGAGGUGCGAAAGCGUGGGGAGCAAACAGGAUUAGAGACCCGUGUAGUCCCUGUCUCUUAUAA
Molecule: ribosomal RNA, 301 nt
Filed under: uncultured bacterium
Lineage: Bacteria
Description: partial 16S ribosomal RNA
Rfam family: Bacterial small subunit ribosomal RNA
Source: RNAcentral